RNAcentral lists this ribosomal RNA (2186 nucleotides) under Triticum aestivum (bread wheat). RNAcentral's name for it is "partial small subunit ribosomal RNA". The record is from RNAcentral. Lineage: Eukaryota; Viridiplantae; Streptophyta; Magnoliopsida; Poales; Poaceae.
AUGUCUGCCGCGGGCCUGCCUUCUAGCAGCCGAGCCCCACCUCAAAAAAGAAAAAAAAAACCAAACAAACAGCCGAGCCUUAUCCUGUCUGCUUCCCUGAGCUCGCAUUCUUCCCUGAGCCUUAUCCUAUCGAGCCCCACUCUCUACCUCUGUUGUUUCUUCUGCGGCGCUCGGUCCCCGAAAAGUACCCCGCCGACUCCCAGGCCUCAGAUCCGUUUUGGUCCUCAGCAAAGCAGGCCAAAGACUAAUCCGAGCACCUGCCUAAUCCUCAAGCCCUCUGGGUCUAUCUCCUGAAACCAUCCUCAUGGAAUUGGUUGAGCUGUCCACCACAUAUUUGGCUGAAGCAAUGUUUGAGAAGCUUGGGCUCCCUAAACCAAUCUACCAUGUGCAUUGACUUGAGCAAGGUGAUGUAAAGCAGAAAUUGAAUUCCAUUGUACGAAAGAACGUUUCCAUGCUUCAGCAUGCCGGGCUAAACUGAAAACUCGUGUAUGCGAGGAUGAGGAGACAUCAAUGAAUCUUGCAGCCGAUCUGGCCAUUGAAUACAUGGAAAACAAAGAGAACAAAGUACUUGUUGAUUACAAUUAUUACCAACUGGAGCAAAAUAAAAAGACAUGUGCAAGAGUAUCAGACAAGCUGCUAGAAAAAUCAGAGGAUAUCAACCAACGCAGCAACAAAAUCAAACUGAUAACUAAAGAGGCAUGCAACUAUGUGGAUGAAGUGCGUGCUGCAUCAAAUAAAAUCCAUUGUCUUACUGGUGUUGCCUUGGACCCAACUACCUCAAUGUCCGUCUCUAAUCUGAGGCAGGCUCUCCUGGUGAUUCAUGAUGCAGUAAUUGCACUGCAAAACACUACAACCACAGCAUCUCAGUUCCUGGAGGAAGAAGGCAUGUACUCUGAUGAGGACGUGGCUGAUCCAGUAUACACUGGGCAUUCUGAUGAAGAUUCUGCUGAAGAUUGCCAUCCAGACAUGAACGACGACUACGCUCAUUAUAUGCGAUAUCCAUGAGCAUCAUGUUCAGCCUGCUGAGCUAUCUGAUCGCCAUAUGAAGCUCUAUAUGUAUAGCUUCACUAUGAUGGGUUGCUUCUGUUAGGCGGGAACCAGUGUGGUUCUUACGUUCAAUCUCCAUGUUUAGUCUCCUGUGUUAGUUAAAUAAGAUAUGAAGCUCUGUCUUAUAGCUUCACCUUAGAAAUCUGUCUCCUUUUCGAACUGUACUCUCAUCAUGCAUAAGUAUUGAAUUCAUCGUGCUGUGCUAAGACAAUGUAAUUUAUCUAUGUUGUAUGUUUGCUUUUACCCACUGAGAAACUUCCUCUCAGUACCAUCGCUAUGCACCUGCAUUAACUUGCUUUAUUCUCCCGAGACUAAAUCAGUGCGCACAAUCAUUUGGUCUUCUAGCUCAGCUCUACUUGCUACUCAGCCGGUCAGAAGCAAACCUAUUUCCUUAUCGAUUCACUCUCACUAAAGAUAAUCUUAUGGAGAAAAGCAAAUGCUGGCCAUUCGACCUACCAACAGGUACAUAAAUUUACUGAUGCUAUACCAGAUACCAUUUAAACAGCCACACAUAUAUGCUUAUCUUUGUGGUCUUCUAACAGUUUUAUAUUUACUACAGCCGAUCAGUUGAGCACCUGGAUGAUAACAAAAAAGUGCUUGUUCACUGACCUUUCUUCUUCACAAGGUUUUCUAAGCAGAGUUGAGCACAAGACAAGAGAAAUUUUGGUGCUGUACAAAACUCUUGUGUUAUAUAGGCAGGAGCAUAGCACAAAUUGUAUUACGUAAGGACAAUCGCACAUACACUCAAUCUAUGCAUGAAUAUUUUGAUACACACUCUAACAGUACCUCCCUUGCUCUCGCCCCUUGCGCCAUUGGCGCAACUGGUCAUCUAGUAGAUAGAAAAACUGAAACAUAUAAAGAAACCCGGUGGCUAUCAUUCAAGGCAACCUCUCAACAUGUGCAGAUAGAUGCACCAACAUAUAUGCAAAGCGAGCCUGUCUUUAUACGCUGGAUUCCUCGUCUGCUGUGAUGAUAACCGUGGAACAUGUUCGCUAAUAGUCAUGUGCCUUCGAGAAAUCUGAAUCUGAAGAAAACUGUAUCAAAGAGGUGCAUUACUUGGGUAGAAAUCUGAAUCUAACUUAAAAAUCAAGCAGCAAAUGGGAUUCCUGGAGGAGAUACCAUACAUUGGAGAAGAAAUC